RNAcentral lists this ribosomal RNA (254 nucleotides) under uncultured bacterium. RNAcentral's name for it is "partial 16S ribosomal RNA". It matches the Rfam family "Bacterial small subunit ribosomal RNA", at positions 524 to 776 of the family's 1533-position model. The record is from RNAcentral.
GACGUAGGGCGCGAGCGUUGUCCGGAUUUAUUGGGCGUAAAGAGCUCGUAGGCGGCUUGUCGCGUCGGCUGUGAAAUCCCUCGGCUUAACCGGGGAACUGCGUCUGAUACUGGAUGGCUUGAGUUUGGGAGAGGGAUGCGGAAUUCCAGGUGUAGCGGUGAAAUGCGUAGAUAUCUGGAGGAACACCGGUGGCGAAGGCGGCAUCCUGGACCAACACUGACGCUGAGUGAGCGAAAGCCAGGGGAGCAAACGGG